CGGCUCAGUAACACGUGGAUAACUGCCUAAGGUGGAGGAUAACCCCGGGAAACUGGGGAUAAUACUCCAUAGGUUAAAGGUACUGGAAUGUUCUUUAACCGAAAGUUCCGGCGCUUUAGGAUGGAUCUGCGGCCGAUUAGGUUGUUGUUGGGGUAGUGGCCCAACAAGCCUGUAAUCGGUACGGGUUGUGGGAGCAAGAGCCCGGAGAUGGAAUCUGAGACACGAUUCCAGGCCCUACGGGGCGCAGCAGGCGCGAAAACUUUACAAUGCAGGAAACUGUGAUAAGGGAACCCCGAGUGCCCGUAUAUGCGGGCUGUCCGGAUGUUUAAAACGCAUCCGAAGAAAGGGCCGGGCAAGACCGGUGCCAGCCGCCGCGGUAAUACCGGCGGCUCGAGUGGUGGCCACUUUUAUUGGGCUUAAAGCGUUCGUAGCUUGAAUAAUAAGUCUCUUGGGAAAUCUGCAGGCUUAACCUGCAGGCGUUUAAGAGAAACUGUUGUUCUAGGAACCGGAAGAGGUGAGAGGUACUCCGGGGGUAGGAGUGAAAUCCUGUAAUCCCCGGGGGACCACCGAUGGCGAAGGCAUCUCACCAGGACGGCUUCGACAGUGAGGAACGAAAGCUGGGGGAGCGAACCGGAUUAGAUACCCGGGUAGUCCCAGCCGUAAACGAUGUGCGUUAGGUGUGCCGGUGACCACGAGUCACUGGGGUGCCGAAGGGAAACCGUGAAACGUACCGCCUGGGAAGUACGGUCGCAAGGCUGAAACUUAAAGGAAUUGGCGGGGGAGCACAAGGG
Molecule: ribosomal RNA, 791 nt
Filed under: uncultured archaeon
Lineage: Archaea
Description: bacterial SSU rRNA
Rfam family: Archaeal small subunit ribosomal RNA
Source: RNAcentral